Long non-coding RNA from Cephus cinctus (wheat stem sawfly), 272 nucleotides. RefSeq lists it as uncharacterized. The transcript is spliced from 3 exons. The record is from RefSeq and is a predicted model, not a curated record. Lineage: Eukaryota; Metazoa; Arthropoda; Insecta; Hymenoptera; Cephidae.
ACUGAGUAGGAUAAAGUCAAACUCACCAAUGAGCGCUGCUAAAAUUAUAACAGUUUUCAUGAUUUCGUGAUAAUUAUCGAUCACUGUAAGGAAACGAAUGAGAUUGAGAAGCUUAUUGCGAACUUUUAUAUGAAUGAUACUGUCCAGAAGGAAUUCCAUAAUUAAGAAAGUCCAAAUGAAAGCAACAUACAUAGGAUAUGUUCAGCAAUGGCAGAAGAGAUCAACAGGUGAUCUUCCAGGGUUUCUCAACCAAGAAAAUGUGCAUGGUAAUA